AAUGCAUAAGCGAAAAACUGCUGCCCAGGAAAAGCAUUGGCAGCCAAUGUUUUUGAUUGGUUUGAAUGCAAUACAGAGUCAUGUCUAAAAAUGGCCUGUAGAGAAACAAAAGCCGGGUGGGCAUAUGACAAAUAAUGUUACAGUUAAUACACACACCACGGUUUGUUCAUCAGCUUCUUAAUAUGACAUCAAUUGACAGGGAUUUUCAUUCUAACCUUCAAUUGUCUUGUACUUCCUACUG
This 241-nucleotide unclassified non-coding RNA is filed under the name Hevea brasiliensis (rubber tree). Lineage: Eukaryota; Viridiplantae; Streptophyta; Magnoliopsida; Malpighiales; Euphorbiaceae. The record is from RNAcentral.